UGUUAUGGGUCGCGGGGGGCUGGAGCCUAUCCAAGCAGUCAUAGGGCAUGAGGCAGGGUACACCCUGGACAGGACGCCAGUCUGCCGCAGGGCCACAUAUAGACAAACAACCACACUCACAUUCACACCCGCGCACGCACCUAUGGACAAGUUAAAGUUUCCAGUGCACCUAACCUGCAUGUCUUUGGAUAUGGGAGGAAGCCGGCGUACCCAGACAGAACCCAAACACGGGGAGAAUAUGCAAACUUCACACAGAAAGGCCA
Molecule: long non-coding RNA, 263 nt
Organism: Thalassophryne amazonica
Lineage: Eukaryota; Metazoa; Chordata; Actinopteri; Batrachoidiformes; Batrachoididae
Exons: 3
Source: RefSeq, a predicted model, not a curated record